GUCCUGCUGACGAGUCCCAAACCGGACGAAACAGCUGUCCGGUAC
This 45-nucleotide non-coding RNA is filed under the name Echinostoma caproni. The record is from RNAcentral. Lineage: Eukaryota; Metazoa; Platyhelminthes; Trematoda; Plagiorchiida; Echinostomatidae.